GGGGUUGUGGCUCAGUGAGUGGUAGAGCUCUCGCCUAGCAGGUGCAGAGCCCUGGGUUCAAUCCUCAGCACCACA
Molecule: transfer RNA, 75 nt
Filed under: Marmota monax (woodchuck)
Lineage: Eukaryota; Metazoa; Chordata; Mammalia; Rodentia; Sciuridae
Description: tRNA.Ala
Source: RNAcentral